This is a long non-coding RNA of Eptesicus fuscus (big brown bat), 561 nucleotides long. RefSeq lists it as uncharacterized. The transcript has 3 exons. Lineage: Eukaryota; Metazoa; Chordata; Mammalia; Chiroptera; Vespertilionidae. The record is from RefSeq and is a predicted model, not a curated record.
CAGGCUCCUUGGGAGGGAACCCAGAGCAGAGCUGCAAGUGGAGCUGGUCACAACGGUCAAUUUAGCUGCCUCUGUCCCUGCCCCUAAACGGGGGAUGUUAUUGCAAGGACUCAGCGAAAUAAAAGAUUCUCCAGAACUGGUUCUUUCAUCUCUCUUGCUGCGCGGGACGCGGAAAAGGGAGAUCCCCGCCAUGUUUGGCCCCCGCCGCAUCAGGCCCCCGCAUUUUGGCGACCAACGUGGGCCGUGAAAGAAGCAACAAGAGGUAUGGGUCAAGGGAUCGCUCCCAAGAAUUGCGUGCGCCACAGAAAGUGUAAGAUACGGAGAGUGUAUUGUAGUGAAUUGAUAUGAAUUAGCCGGGUGUAAAACGUGGGUAAUCCUCAAAAAUGCUUUAAACUAUGUUCUCUUAAGCGUAGUCAGAUUCUUGAUUUCUUAAGUUUUGUUGAUGAAACCUGGGAAAAGGUUAGAGAGCAGUUGUGUGACCAAUACUCAGCAAAAAGUCCAGAGAAAAUUCCUAUUUUAAUUGGUGAUGGCCUUGAUUCAGCACAAGAGAGUUUAAGAAUG